GGGUGAGUAAAGUAUCGGAACGUGCCCAGUCGUGGGGGAUAACGCAGCGAAAGUUGUGCUAAUACCGCAUACGAUCUAUGGAUGAAAGCGGGGGAUCGCAAGACCUCGCGCGAUUGGAGCGGCCGAUAUCAGAUUAGCUAGUUGGUGGGGUAAAGGCUCACCAAGGCGACGAUCUGUAGCUGGUCUGAGAGGACGACCAGCCACACUGGGACUGAGACACGGCCCAGACUCCUACGGGAGGCAGCAGUGGGGAAUUUUGGACAAUGGGCGCAAGCCUGAUCCAGCAAUGCCGCGUGCAGGAAGAAGGCCUUCGGGUUGUAAACUGCUUUUGUACGGAACGAAACGGUCUGGGUUAAUACCCUGGACUAAUGACGGUACCGUAAGAAUAAGCACCGGCUA
RNAcentral lists this ribosomal RNA (399 nucleotides) under uncultured bacterium. RNAcentral's name for it is "bacterial SSU rRNA". It matches the Rfam family "Bacterial small subunit ribosomal RNA", at positions 104 to 499 of the family's 1533-position model. The record is from RNAcentral.